This 502-nucleotide ribosomal RNA is filed under the name uncultured bacterium. Its description in RNAcentral is "bacterial SSU rRNA". It matches the Rfam family "Bacterial small subunit ribosomal RNA", at positions 8 to 507 of the family's 1533-position model. The record is from RNAcentral.
AGAGUUUGAUCAUGGCUCAGAUUGAACGCUGGCGGCAUGCCUUACACAUGCAAGUCGAACGGCAGCGCGGGGCAACCUGGCGGCGAGUGGCGAACGGGUGAGUAAUAUAUCGGAACGUGCCCAGUAGUGGGGGAUAGCCCGGCGAAAGCCGGAUUAAUACCGCAUGAGACCUGAGGGUGAAAGCGGGGGAUCGCAAGACCUCGCGCUAUUGGAGCGGCCGAUAUCAGAUUAGCUAGUUGGUGGGGUAAAGGCCUACCAAGGCAACGAUCUGUAGUUGGUCUGAGAGGACGACCAGCCACACUGGGACUGAGACACGGCCCAGACUCCUACGGGAGGCAGCAGUGGGGAAUUUUGGACAAUGGGCGCAAGCCUGAUCCAGCAAUGCCGCGUGCAGGAAGAAGGCCUUCGGGUUGUAAACUGCUUUUGUCAGGGAAGAAAUCCUCUGGGUUAACACCUCGGGGGGAUGACGGUACCUGAAGAAUAAGCACCGGCUAACUACGUG